RNAcentral lists this ribosomal RNA (254 nucleotides) under uncultured bacterium. RNAcentral's name for it is "partial 16S ribosomal RNA". It matches the Rfam family "Bacterial small subunit ribosomal RNA", at positions 524 to 776 of the family's 1533-position model. The record is from RNAcentral.
UACGAAGGGGGCUAGCGUUGCUCGGAAUCACUGGGCGUAAAGCGCACGUAGGUGGGUCGCUAAGUCGGGGGUGAAAUCCUGGAGCUCAACUCCAGAACUGCCUUCGAUACUGGCGAUCUUUGAGUCCGGGAGAGGUGGGUGGAACUGCGAGUGUAGAGGUGAAAUGCGUAGAUAUCGGGAGGAACACCAGUGGCGAAGGCGACUACCUGGCCUGUUCUUGACGCUGAGGCGCGAAAGCGUGGGGAGCGAACCGG